GUGUAUAACAGUGUGGGAAGCUGGAAUCUAGAGGAACGAUAGUGACUUCCUUUUCUAGCCAAACGGAGGAAGAGCAUGCCUGCUUCCCACGAUGCUUCCAGGUGGCUACCUUCCCAGCACCAGGGUAGCUAUGAAAGUGGGGGCCACGGAGAUUCCAGAGGAGCACCUUGCAGAUGUCCAGGCUGACAGCUGGACGCUUCCCGCCAGUGUCCUCCAGGGAAGGCUAGCCUCUGAAAUCCCUAGCACUGGCCAACAGAAAUAAAUUGGAUCUACUCCAAAGAUCAAUCACUUCUCGCUUUAGCGAGGGGGCUGGUUUACUGUUAAGUAAAUGUGGGAGUUUGGGAGAGUAAAAUAUCAUGCAUAAAGGCAUCUGAGUGGAAUAGAAUGGGCACAGAUGGGCUUUGGAAGCAGCAGAAAGCAGUGAGCUCAAAUCCAGUCUUCUCCACUUAUUAGUGAAAGUAUUUAUCAUUUGUUACAAAGGAGACAAAACGUUUUCACAGGCUUCUAAACGUUUUAGAAUUCCUAAAAAUGCCUUUCAUUCACUUCUGGAAUCUUAAAGUUCUUCUUGUGCACCCUUACCACUGCAAGAUUUUCAGCCUCUAAACUACUCUUCACGGUUACUCUCUAUACAAACCAUUUUGUUAUUACAUCCUGCCAAUUACCAUAUUUAGAAUUUUCUCUUUCCCAUGAUUAGAAAAAUUAGCUCAGUGAGGGCAAAAAGAAAAGACCAUGUCAUAUAUCUAUUGGAAAAAAAAUCCUGAGACUAGUUAAAUUUAACAAAGUGUUUUUCAACAAGGAAAAGGUUCUACAGC
RNAcentral lists this long non-coding RNA (812 nucleotides) under Marmota monax (woodchuck). Lineage: Eukaryota; Metazoa; Chordata; Mammalia; Rodentia; Sciuridae. The record is from RNAcentral.